RNAcentral lists this ribosomal RNA (538 nucleotides) under Nannizzia gypsea. Its description in RNAcentral is "eukaryotic LSU rRNA". It matches the Rfam family "Eukaryotic large subunit ribosomal RNA", at positions 76 to 626 of the family's 3401-position model. Lineage: Eukaryota; Fungi; Ascomycota; Eurotiomycetes; Onygenales; Arthrodermataceae. The record is from RNAcentral.
UGCCCCAGUAACGGCGAGUGAAGCGGCAAAAGCUCAAAUUUGAAAUCUGGCCUCCUACGGGGGUCCGAGUUGUAAUUUGUAGAGGAUGCUUCGGGUGUGGCCGCCGUCUAAGUUCCUUGGAACAGGACGUCAGAGAGGGUGAGAAUCCCGUCUUGGGCGGCCGGUCCGCGCCCGUGUGAAGCUCCUUCGAAGAGUCGAGUUGUUUGGGAAUGCAGCUCUAAGCGGGUGGUAAAUUUCAUCUAAAGCUAAAUACUGGUCGGAGACCGAUAGCGCACAAGUAGAGUGAUCGAAAGGUUAAAAGCACCUUGAAAAGGGAGUUAAACAGCACGUGAAAUUGUUGAAAGGGAAGCGCUUGCGGCCAGACUCGGGGGCGGGGUUCAGCGGGUGCUCGUCGCCCGUGCACUCCCCGUCUCCCGGGCCAGCAUCAGUUUCGACGGCCGGUCAAAGGCCUCCGGAAUGUGUCGUCUCUCGGGACGUCUUAUAGCCGGGGGUGCAAUGCGGCCCGUCGGGACUGAGGAACGCGCUUCGGCUCGGAUGC